This 73-nucleotide transfer RNA is filed under the name Actinomycetota bacterium. RNAcentral's name for it is "tRNA-Thr". It matches the Rfam family "tRNA". Rfam says of the family: Transfer RNA (tRNA) molecules are approximately 80 nucleotides in length. Their secondary structure includes four short double-helical elements and three loops (D, anti-codon, and T loops). Further hydrogen bonds mediate the characteristic L-shaped molecular structure. tRNAs have two regions of fundamental functional importance: the anti-codon, which is responsible for specific mRNA codon recognition, and the 3' end, to which the tRNAs corresponding amino acid is attached (by aminoacyl-tRNA synthetases). tRNAs cope with the degeneracy of the genetic code in two manners: having more than one tRNA (with a specific anti-codon) for a particular amino acid; and 'wobble' base-pairing, i.e. permitting non-standard base-pairing at the 3rd anti-codon position. The record is from RNAcentral. Lineage: Bacteria; Bacillati; Actinomycetota.
GCCGGAGUAGCUCAGUUGGUAGAGCAGCUGAUUUGUAAUCAGCAGGCCGUCGGUUCGAGUCCGACCUCCGGCU